UAAAACUAGCCUUCCAAGCUAACG
Molecule: transfer RNA, 24 nt
Filed under: Radula trapezoides
Lineage: Eukaryota; Viridiplantae; Streptophyta; Jungermanniopsida; Radulales; Radulaceae
Description: Radula sp. CP-2022f partial tRNA-Gly
Source: RNAcentral